Molecule: ribosomal RNA, 450 nt
Filed under: uncultured bacterium
Lineage: Bacteria
Description: bacterial SSU rRNA
Rfam family: Bacterial small subunit ribosomal RNA
Source: RNAcentral
GUGGGGAAUUUUGGACAAUGGGCGCAAGCCUGAUCCAGCCAUUCCGCGUGAGUGAAGAAGGCCUUCGGGUUGUAAAGCUCUUUCGCAAGGGAAGAAAACUUACCCUCUAACAUAGGGUGAGGUUGACGGUACCUUGAUAAGAAGCACCGGCUAACUACGUGCCAGCAGCCGCGGUAAUACGUAGGGUGCGAGCGUUAAUCGGAAUUACUGGGCGUAAAGGGCGCGUAGGCGGUUUGUCAAGUCCCGUGUGAAAGCCCUCGGCUCAACCGAGGAACGGCGCGGGAAACUAGCAGGCUUGAGUUCGGGAGAGGGAAGCGGAAUUCCGGGUGUAGCGGUGAAAUGCGCAGAUAUCCGGAGGAACACCGGUGGCGAAGGCGGCUUCCUGGACCGACACUGACGCUGAGGCGCGAAAGCUAGGGGAGCAAACGGGAUUAGAAACCCGAGUAGUCC